RNAcentral lists this transfer-messenger RNA (402 nucleotides) under Candidatus Nomurabacteria bacterium CG1_02_31_12. It matches the Rfam family "transfer-messenger RNA". Rfam says of the family: Bacterial tmRNA, also known as 10Sa RNA or SsrA, is named for its dual tRNA and mRNA-like properties. Its role is to liberate the mRNA from a stalled ribosome. To accomplish this part of the tmRNA is used as a reading frame that ends in a translation stop signal. RNAcentral also lists the same sequence under 3 other names. Lineage: Bacteria; Candidatus Nomuraibacteriota. The record is from RNAcentral.
GGGGAUGCAAGGCAUAGACAGUAGGUCUACUUGUAAAAAUGCAUGUCGAGAAUGGACGUAAUCUCGUUAAAAUUCGUUCAAAUGUUAAUUGCAAAAUUGACUUCUAAAGUAAAAGCAGCAGUCUCUCCAUACUUCGGUAUGAAUGACUUUGCUUUUGCUCGAGUUUCCGCUUUAGCGUAAGCUCGUGUCUUUCUUAUAGAUUUCUGAUAUAUAAGAGUAGGCAUAAUAUUAUCGGAAUAGGGGAAAGUGGGUCUCGACUUUUUUAGAAAACUAAAGAGAAUCGAUUGAAAAAUAUUUUGUUCGUUUAAGAAUUUUUUGAUUUAAAAUAAAAAACGUACCACACAUGUAGAUUUUUUUACAAAAACCUUCUGCACGGGGAUUCGAUUUCCCCCAUCUCCACUG